This is a long non-coding RNA of Uloborus diversus, 610 nucleotides long. RefSeq lists it as uncharacterized. The record is from RefSeq and is a predicted model, not a curated record. The transcript has 4 exons. Lineage: Eukaryota; Metazoa; Arthropoda; Arachnida; Araneae; Uloboridae.
CCAGCUCAAUUAAGACGGAGUGACUUUGUUCCAGACGAGAGGCGGUGAACUCUUCUUCUUUCCGGAGGUAAGGAGGCGAAAGAUUAGAUAGAGAGGAGGCGAUCCUUUCGAUGAGAGUGGCCAAAGUCCUCUGCUAUUGUCAGUCGGAGCAGUAGGUGAGAGAGCGAAUUACGACGUACAAAAAUCGAUUGUCAUUUAACAUGGAAUGACCUGAAAGUUUGAACGGCAUUAUCUAAUGAAUGAAAAUGGACGAAAUUACGAAGAUGAAGGCUUUUGAGUGUCUGGCUGUUUUUCGCUUUUGAGAGGUGACUGGCCAACCACCAACUACGAAUCGCAUUUUGCGUUAUAGAGUAUGAGAUGGAUCUAGAAAAAAAAAAAUUGAAUCCUAUGAGAGAAAGUAUGAUGACUCCAAGAAUUGAAUCAACAUGGUCUAUAACUUAAAGGCACCAAACGGAAAUUAUCAAUUGGAAAAGAAAUGACGCCUACGCUGGAGGAGUAUGACUAAUGAAUCCAACCUGAAGACAAGUUAAAAUGCAUUGUUACCACAGAUGGAAACUUCAUUCUUCAAACAUUAUUUUAAGUAUCUGUAAUUUCGUUGCUGUAAAAUUUU